Molecule: ribosomal RNA, 352 nt
Filed under: uncultured bacterium
Lineage: Bacteria
Description: partial 16S ribosomal RNA
Rfam family: Bacterial small subunit ribosomal RNA
Source: RNAcentral
CCUACGGGAGGCUGCAGUAGGAAAUCUUCCACAAUGGACGAAAGUCUGAUGGAGCAACGCCGCGUGAGUGAAGAAGGGUUUCGGCUCGUAAAGCUCUGUUGGUAGGGAAGAAAGAUAGAGGGAGUAACUGGCCUUGAGUGGACGGUAAGGACGGAGAAAGUCACGGCUAACUACGUGCCAGCAGCCGCGGUAAGACGUAGGUGGCAAGCGUUGUCCGGAUUUAUUGGGCGGAAAGCGAGUGCAGGCGGUUCAAUAAGUCUGAGGUGAAAGCCUUCGGCUCAACCGGAGAAUUGCAUCCGAAACUUUUGAACUUGAGUGCAGCAGAGGACAGUGGACCUCCAUUUGUAGCGGU